CUACGGGCUGCACCAGUGAGGAAUAUUGCACAAUGGGGGGAACCCUGAUGCAGCAACGCCGCGUGGAGGAUGACGCAUUUCGGUGUGUAAACUCCUUUUAUAUGUCAAGAAAAUGACGGUAGCAUAUGAAUAAGCACCGGCUAACUCCGUGCCAGCAGCCGCGGUAAUACGGAGGGUGCAAGCGUUACUCGGAAUCACUGGGCGUAAAGGACGCGUAGGCGGGCUUGUAAGUCAGGUGUGAAAUCCUACAGCUUAACUGUAGAACUGCACUUGAAACUACGAGCCUAGAGUAUGGGAGGGGGAGAUGGAAUUAGUGGUGUAGGGGUAAAAUCCGUAGAUAUCACUAGGAAUACCUAAAGCGAAGGCGAUCUCCUGGAACAUAACUGACGCUAAGGCGUGAAAGCGUGGGGAGCAAACAGGAUUAGAUACCCCUGUAGUC
RNAcentral lists this ribosomal RNA (439 nucleotides) under uncultured bacterium. RNAcentral's name for it is "partial 16S ribosomal RNA". It matches the Rfam family "Bacterial small subunit ribosomal RNA", at positions 339 to 795 of the family's 1533-position model. The record is from RNAcentral.